Molecule: ribosomal RNA, 783 nt
Filed under: uncultured marine bacterium
Lineage: Bacteria
Description: bacterial SSU rRNA
Rfam family: Bacterial small subunit ribosomal RNA
Source: RNAcentral
UGAUCCUGGCUCAGGAUGAACGCUAGCGGCAGGCUUAACACAUGCAAGUCGAGGGGUAACAUUGUGCUUGCACAGAUGACGACCGGCGCACGGGUGCGUAACGCGUAUAGAACCUACCUUUUACAGAGGGAUAGCCUUUAGAAAUGAAGAUUAAUACCUCAUAGUAUUGCGAUUUGGCAUCAGAUUGUAAUUAAAGAUUUAUCGGUAAAAGAUGGCUAUGCGUCCUAUUAGUUAGUUGGUAAGGUAACGGCUUACCAAGACAUCGAUAGGUAGGGGUCCUGAGAGGGAGAUCCCCCACACUGGUACUGAGACACGGACCAGACUCCUACGGGAGGCAGCAGUGAGGAAUAUUGGACAAUGGAGGAGACUCUGAUCCAGCCAUGCCGCGUGCAGGAAGACUGCCCUAUGGGUUGUAAACUGCUUUUAUACAGGAAGAAACACUAGUACGUGUACUAGCUUGACGGUACUGUAAGAAUAAGGACCGGCUAACUCCGUGCCAGCAGCCGCGGUAAUACGGAGGGUCCGAGCGUUAUCCGGAAUCAUUGGGUUUAAAGGGUCCGCAGGCGGUCGAUUAAGUCAGAGGUGAAAUCCCAUAGCUUAACUAUGGAACUGCCUUUGAUACUGGUUGACUUGAGUCAUAUGGAAGUAGAUAGAAUGUGUAGUGUAGCGGUGAAAUGCAUAGAUAUUACACAGAAUACCGAUUGCGAAGGCAGUCUACUACGUAUGUACUGACGCUCAUGGACGAAAGCGUGGGGAGCGAACAGGAUUAGAUACCCUGGUAGU